GGCGAGAUGGCCGAGCGGUCUAAGGCGCUAGAAUCAGGACAUUGGGAUACGAACCCACCGUCUUAUCUAGUCCUCCGGGGCGUGGGUUCGAAUCCCACUCUCGUCA
Non-coding RNA from Schizophyllum commune H4-8, 106 nucleotides. The record is from Rfam. NCBI's taxonomy places the organism in Eukaryota, Fungi, Basidiomycota, Agaricomycetes, Agaricales, Schizophyllaceae.